UAUCGGUCAAGAUGAAAGACCUGCAUCUGCAUGGGUGAAGAGGUAGAUCAAGAUCUUGACGCUGUAUGACGUCAACCAAUCCAUCGCAACCUUUGAAGUUGAUUUCGUCGAGUGGCCUCUGCUUUGCCACAAAGAGAUGCACUGAAAAGAGGGAGAAAACAUUCUUCUCUGCUUGCUCGGUUACAAGCUAGCUAAUGGAUUAUGGAUGCUCCUGGAGAGAUGGAGCAAGCCAGGGGCGACCAGCCUCGGACUUGCCGGUUGCCGCCUCUGCCAUGGCGCGGCCCGGCGUCUGCGCGUGGUGGCACAACUAUGCAAGGGUGGUCACGUCUAGCCAUGGUAUGGUGGGUGUGCCAAGGCAUGGCUAGGUGGCCGCGUGAACACGGCAAUUGGCGAUGCACACCACCUGUUGGGCGAAAUGUGUGGCCGGUGAGACAUUGUUCGGAUUUCACCUUUAUAUCUUUUCCUUUUCUGUUUAUCUUGAAUUGAUUCUGCUUCUUCUGCAUUACGGUUGGUUUUGAACCCCAAGACGGAAGAAGAUGGCCGUGGCCGAGGCAUGGACUCAUCUAGGUGAAGGGCGACACCCACAGCCAAAAGUACGUCGACGAGGCCACCAAGAAGGAGGUCAAGGACAUCUUUCGGCCGCUAUGACCGCACCCUCCUCGUCGCCGACCCCAGGCGCUGCGAGCCCAAGAAGUUUGGUGGGCGCGGAGGGGUCGGGCGAGAUAGGCCAACAAGUGCACUUGAAUGCUGGAUCUAGGAAAAUGCUUCCAUACUAGGAACAACACUCUAAUGAAACAUCGAGUUGCUCCAGAACAAUAACAAUGCACAAGACGGAAUUUUCUGACCCAAAUCUUAAGCUGGCCAUCAGUUUUUAACUCAGGAGAGCUGCAUGUUAUAUUGAAAAGUAGGAAACACCCAGAGGGGCGAAGGUAAAAUUUACAAGGCAGAACAAGAAAAACGGAGCUCCAACAGCUGCCAAGUGGGAUUAAUAUGUUUGAUCUUGCUAAUAUUGACAGUGUACUGGCAAAGCCGCGCUGUGUUUCUAGUA
Panicum virgatum (switchgrass) is the source of this 1048-nucleotide long non-coding RNA. RefSeq lists it as uncharacterized. The transcript is spliced from 4 exons. The record is from RefSeq and is a predicted model, not a curated record. Lineage: Eukaryota; Viridiplantae; Streptophyta; Magnoliopsida; Poales; Poaceae.